This 464-nucleotide ribosomal RNA is filed under the name Vreelandella stevensii. RNAcentral describes it as "partial 16S ribosomal RNA". It matches the Rfam family "Bacterial small subunit ribosomal RNA", at positions 335 to 795 of the family's 1533-position model. Lineage: Bacteria; Pseudomonadati; Pseudomonadota; Gammaproteobacteria; Oceanospirillales; Halomonadaceae. The record is from RNAcentral.
ACUCGGGAGGCAGCAGUGGGGAAUAUUGGACAAUGGGCGAAAGCCUGAUCCAGCCAUGCCGCGUGUGUGAAGAAGGCCUUCGGGUUGUAAAGCACUUUCAGUGGGGAAGAAAGCCUUGGGGCUAAUACCCUCGAGGAAGGACAUCACCCACAGAAGAAGCACCGGCUAACUCCGUGCCAGCAGCCGCGGUAAUACGGAGGGUGCGAGCGUUAAUCGGAAUUACUGGGCGUAAAGCGCGCGUAGGCGGUCUGAUAAGCCGGUUGUGAAAGCCCCGGGCUCAACCUGGGAACGGCAUCCGGAACUGUCAGGCUAGAGUGCAGGAGAGGAAGGUAGAAUUCCCGGUGUAGCGGUGAAAUGCGUAGAGAUCGGGAGGAAUACCAGUGGCGAAGGCGGCCUUCUGGACUGACACUGACGCUGAGGUGCGAAAGCGUGCGUAGCAAACAGGAUUAGAUACCCUGGUAGUC